Non-coding RNA from Pocillopora verrucosa, 327 nucleotides. NCBI's taxonomy places the organism in Eukaryota, Metazoa, Cnidaria, Anthozoa, Scleractinia, Pocilloporidae. The record is from RefSeq and is a predicted model, not a curated record.
GCAUCUUUGCCAGGGAAGUGAUAGAGGCAAGAAGAGCUCCUCCCGUUGUUCAGGCCAGGACACCUCCCAUACAACCUCCCCCAGUGAUGGUGGUAGUAGAUUCUCCACCACCAUCAAAACACGGCUGUGUAGACUUUUGUUUCAAGUGUGAAAGCGGCCACAGCUGGUACGAUUUGCAAGGGAAAGGUUUAUGCAUUGUCCUGUUGCUGCUUUUGGGUUAUUUGAUCUUUGGGGUUAUCGCUUUAGCAUUUUUUGUGUUGUAUUGUGUUGGCGAGUGCCUCAAGUCAUUUGGAAGUGACUGAGAAAUGGAUCACAUCAUUGGUUUAU